GGCCCCGUAGCUCAGCUGGAUAGAGCAGCACCCUCCUAAGGUGACGGUCGGGGGUUCAAAUCCUCCCGGGGUCG
Molecule: transfer RNA, 74 nt
Filed under: Malonomonas rubra DSM 5091
Lineage: Bacteria; Pseudomonadati; Thermodesulfobacteriota; Desulfuromonadia; Desulfuromonadales; Geopsychrobacteraceae
Rfam family: tRNA
About the family: Transfer RNA (tRNA) molecules are approximately 80 nucleotides in length. Their secondary structure includes four short double-helical elements and three loops (D, anti-codon, and T loops).
Source: Rfam by way of RNAcentral